RNAcentral lists this ribosomal RNA (856 nucleotides) under Kocuria salina. RNAcentral's name for it is "bacterial SSU rRNA". It matches the Rfam family "Bacterial small subunit ribosomal RNA", at positions 34 to 899 of the family's 1533-position model. The record is from RNAcentral. Lineage: Bacteria; Bacillati; Actinomycetota; Actinomycetes; Micrococcales; Micrococcaceae.
CGCUGGCGGCGUGCUUAACACAUGCAAGUCGAACGAUGAUGCCCAGCUUGCUGGGCGGAUUAGUGGCGAACGGGUGAGUAAUACGUGAGUAACCUGCCCUUGACUCUGGGAUAAGCCUGGGAAACUGGGUCUAAUACUGGAUACUACUGUCCAUCGCAUGGUGGGUGGUGGAAAGGGUUUUACUGGUUUUGGAUGGGCUCACGGCCUAUCAGCUUGUUGGUGGGGUAAUGGCUCACCAAGGCGACGACGGGUAGCCGGCCUGAGAGGGUGACCGGCCACACUGGGACUGAGACACGGCCCAGACUCCUACGGGAGGCAGCAGUGGGGAAUAUUGCACAAUGGGCGGAAGCCUGAUGCAGCGACGCCGCGUGAGGGAUGACGGCCUUCGGGUUGUAAACCUCUUUCAGUAGGGAAGAAGCGAGAGUGACGGUACCUGCAGAAGAAGCGCCGGCUAACUACGUGCCAGCAGCCGCGGUAAUACGUAGGGCGCAAGCGUUGUCCGGAAUUAUUGGGCGUAAAGAGCUCGUAGGCGGUUUGUCGCGUCUGCUGUGAAAGCCCGGGGCUCAACCCCGGGUCUGCAGUGGGUACGGGCAGACUAGAGUGCAGUAGGGGAGACUGGAAUUCCUGGUGUAGCGGUGAAAUGCGCAGAUAUCAGGAGGAACACCGAUGGCGAAGGCAGGUCUCUGGGCUGUUACUGACGCUGAGGAGCGAAAGCAUGGGGAGCGAACAGGAUUAGAUACCCUGGUAGUCCAUGCCGUAAACGUUGGGCACUAGGUGUGGGGGACAUUCCACGUUUUCCGCGCCGUAGCUAACGCAUUAAGUGCCCCGCCUGGGGAGUACGGCCGCAAGGCUAAAA